CUGAGGGAACUGUGCUGGAGCGCUCUGGGCAGUGGAGCAAGGGGACACCCGGCCCUUGGGACAAGGAUUCUCCAGAGGAAGAAGACACUCUGGAGGAUCUCAGCAGCCUGGAAGAGGACAUCCUGGACUCCCUGGACCGCCUUCUUAAAUAAGAAGAGAUGCUUCCUCAGAUUCCCCUCCAGAGGUCAGCUUGGAGGAGGAGGAACCAGCCCCAGGCACCUCGGGAGG
Molecule: long non-coding RNA, 228 nt
Organism: Thamnophis elegans (Western terrestrial garter snake)
Lineage: Eukaryota; Metazoa; Chordata; Lepidosauria; Squamata; Natricidae
Exons: 3
Source: RefSeq, a predicted model, not a curated record